Small nucleolar RNA from Rhinichthys klamathensis goyatoka, 94 nucleotides. RefSeq annotates it as small nucleolar SNORD12/SNORD106. The transcript has a single exon. The record is from RefSeq and is a predicted model, not a curated record. Lineage: Eukaryota; Metazoa; Chordata; Actinopteri; Cypriniformes; Leuciscidae.
UCUGGUAGCUAUGAUGACUAAUCUUUUUUCCCCAGCAGAUCGACUCUGUUGACUUAAAAAAUAAGAAAUAAGCCAAAUUAACUGAGCAACCAGA